CAGUCGCCGCGGUAAUACGAAGGGUGCAAGCGUUACUCGGAAUUAUUGGGCGUAAAGCGUGCGCAGGCGGUUCGUUAAGACAGAUGUGAAAUCCCCGGGCUUAACCUGGGAACUGCAUUUGUGACUGGCGAGCUAGAGUAUGGCAGAGGGGGGUAGAAUUCCACGUGUAGCAGUGAAAUGCGUAGAGAUGUGGAGGAAUACCGAUGGCGAAGGCAGCCCCCUGGGCCAGUACUGACGCUCAUGCACGAAAGCGUGGGGAGCAAACAGGAUUAGAUACCCGUGUAGUCCCUGUCUCUUAUAC
RNAcentral lists this ribosomal RNA (301 nucleotides) under uncultured bacterium. RNAcentral describes it as "partial 16S ribosomal RNA". It matches the Rfam family "Bacterial small subunit ribosomal RNA", at positions 509 to 807 of the family's 1533-position model. The record is from RNAcentral.